This 207-nucleotide long non-coding RNA is filed under the name Nicotiana benthamiana. RNAcentral describes it as "long non-coding RNA (NBEN_LNC005961)". Lineage: Eukaryota; Viridiplantae; Streptophyta; Magnoliopsida; Solanales; Solanaceae. The record is from RNAcentral.
ACACAAGUAGAAGGCCAAGGUAUGACAACUCUCAAACUAAAUGCUAUAAUUGUCAUAAAUUUGGCCACUAUGCUUCGGAAUGUGAGAAGUCAAACAAUUACGUGCAAGAAAGAGCAAAUUUUGCACAAGAAGAUACCGAAGCCAUGGAAAACACUUUGUUACUAGCAUGCAAAGGUGGAGACAACGGAGGAUUGAAUUUGUGGUAUC